UUAAAAUACGCUCUUUUCUAAGCUAACUUCAUGUUCAGCUGAAAUCUUCUUGGUUUCCAACAGUGUUUGGGCGUUUCAGCAGUGUGUGUGUGUGGGAAUUUCAGUAGUGUGUAUUAGAAAGUUUCAGUAAUGUUUGUUUGAGUUUCAGUGGUGUGUUUGUGAAAGUUUCAGCAAUAUUUGUCAGAUAGUUUCACAAGUGCAAGCACUUCCGUAAUAAUGUCCCUAGCACCGCCUCACACUCUAGCGGUAUUUCCUCUUUAUUCAUCUAAAGCGGAACUCUGAACAAGUGCAACAGCUACUGGGAGAGAAGCAAAGAGGCGCUGAGAGGAGGAAAAGGAAAGCAUCAGGCACAAACAGACAGUGAGGGAGAGAAAGCGAGGAAGGAAAGGGACAUGGAAAAGCAAAAAGUGUUGUGGAAAAGAUUCUUUGUCAUCUCGGCUAGAAAAACAAGUGAAGCUCAUCAUUCUUUUAUUAAAAGGCUUAAAAGUAUCGAUCAAAUGGAAGUGACCUCCGCAGAAAAAUCUGACUACCUUCUGAUUUUCUGUCCUGUUAAUUCACAAGUUGGAGCAGACAUUGCAGAGGCCCUGGACAAGAUUCCCCGUGGUAAACCUGUAAUUCUGGUGGUGAUGCAUCACACCUCCAAUCUUGAGCAUGUUGUAGCUGAAAGCUGGAGACAGGUGAAGAACGAGAAUGUCCACCUCACUGUGGAUUGUCUGGUUUAUAAGGGAAAACUGCUUGAUUGCAGCUUCAAUGAUAUCAUGUGGUGUAACAUUGGGAAGUUUUUCAGAGUUUCCAUUCACCAGCUCAUUCAGACUUCUAAGUGGCGAAAAUGCAGUUGUUACACUGACCCUCUGAUACUGGGUGUAGGUUUUAUAAUGUGUAUUAUGAUAGUGGCAACUGUGACUAUGGAAGUAGUGCGAAGGAUGAUUUAGAUGUUACUGAGCUGAAUGUUUUUUUUUUAUUAUCUGGAUCAUAAAAAAAGGAAAAUGAUAUAAUGAUAAGAGAUCUGCAACCUUAUGCACAGGGCUACAUGUUCAUUGAAAAAAUGUGUUGUGAGUUUGACAGUGAGAUCUGAGAUGCUAAAAUGUUCUAAAAGAAUAACUUGCUGCUCUUGUCCAAUACUUGUGUGAAAGAAAUCCUCUCUGAAGAGAUGGUCGUGUAAAGUUUGUAUCCAAUGUUUCAGCCAAAGGUGCUAUGAGAUUAAAGUUUUUUAAAGUUCAACAUGUGGCUAUAUUUCCGGUUCACAGUCUCUUUUUGCUUCUUCUUAAGCAAAGCAUUUCCCCUGUGUAUGGCUGUAUGAUAUAAUGUUCUGGUUAAGAUUUAGGUUUUAGUUGAACAGAUUAGUAAGUUUUAAAUAACAGCUCAGAAAGUAAGGAUGCUGUUUUGUGCAAUUUUAUUAAUUAUAUUUAAAUUAUCUGUGAUGAAUACAAAUCAAUUGUAUAUAGUAUUUUAUUUUAUUGUGUACAGUAUCUUAUUCUUAUUCUUAUCAUCUUAUCUUAUUUCAGUGUUUUGUUUUGUUUUCAAAUUUUUGCUAUGUAACUUUACACUGUCCACUUUCUGCUGUAACAAAUCAAAUUGCC
Long non-coding RNA from Astatotilapia calliptera (eastern happy), 1580 nucleotides. The record is from Ensembl. NCBI's taxonomy places the organism in Eukaryota, Metazoa, Chordata, Actinopteri, Cichliformes, Cichlidae.